GCCAGAUUUGUGUCCCUAACAUUUUUUUUUCCUAGGUGAAAAACAGAUUAAACUGCAUCUUUUGAAUAAAUAGUAUAUAGGAAAUGGGGAAAAGUGUGACGUUGAAUAUAGCAACACUAAAAAGUGACUCUGCUUUAGGAGGGGAUCGGACUGCAUGAGCUCCAGAUGUCCCUUCCAACCCCAACCGUUCUGUGAUUCUGUGACCUCCCCUGGGCGCUCUGUUCCUCUCCAGACAGCCUAUGCACCCGUGUGAGAGAAUUUGGCCAACAUGAGACCAAACAGGGAAGAAUUUACAACAGAAAAGUAAUGCAGAUGGCUGAGAACCACGUGUCAAGCGUUCUCCAGGUGCAGAGAGGAUGCUGUCAUGUUGGGUACUGCAGCCCUGAUUCUGGAAGAUGGAGGAUCACUAGCUUUGGUGUUCUUGGAAACAGAGAAGAAAAGCAAUUCGGAAAGGGAAAAGAAGUCUCCAGAAGAUCCAGUUUUCAUUUUUAAACCAAAUAGAGGCUUCAUUAUUCUGAUGCCAUGCAAGUUCCAAAGAAAAAAAUGCCUGUCCUGAAAUCUUUGUGAACAGACAUAAGGAAAGGGGUAUGGGCGCAUCACCUGAACAAAUAAAUACACAGAAGAAUGGGUCACACUUUGUUAUACAUGAAGUGUUCAUCCACAACCCUGGACAUGAAACAGCUUUUUUAUUUGAGGUGUUUUGGUGCCUCACAGAAGAUGGUCCCUCUCAGCUGGAGAAACACCAGGAUCUUUCUUCUUCAUACAGGCAGCCUCUAGAAUAAUGUGUGUAUGGAGUGGGCCAGACACGUGCCUCGUCUUGGAAUGACAGCGAGCAGUAAAAGUCAACAAGGCUGGGAAAGACACCUGAGAAAAUGCAACUCCACCAUCUGUCUUCGCUUCACUCGUGUGAAAUUGCUUUUAGACAACUUAAAGAACUACAGCAUCGUAUGAGAUGUAAAAUGUGGGGAGGAAACCUGGUCAAAACCGAUUCACAAGCCAUUGCAAUGUGCUGCAAUCCUUGUGGAAAACAGCAGUCUUCCAAUACAAAGCAGUAUAGGAUUUAUUGCUAUUUCAAGCACAGUUCUGUCCCAUUUGAACUGAAUAUGAACAUUGCCAUGCCACUCGCGACUCAGUCUGUGCUUCAGCAUUUUUUAUUUUAUUCUGGCUUGCUUGUGCUAUUUCUUUGUACUUAGCAUUAUAUAUGUGUCCCUUUUUCUAUAUUUUAUGAUUUUCUUUUAGAUUUUCAGAUUGUUAAAGAGUUCUUGAUGGAACCAUAUUAAUUUUUUAUGUACUUCUAAUCUUUCCUCCCUGUUAGGAUAAUUUGCUGUUGUGCCUUUAUCUCUUGCAUUUCUUUUUUCCUUAUCACUUCUCAGAUACUUGCAUUUCCCUGAGCUAUUUGAAGUCCAUUACCCUUAUUUUGUUAUUUGCAAUUUAAAGGAAGAAUGGAAGACUUAUCAUUUUUAUGAUCUUUUUCUCUUGAAUUAACUUCCACUUUAAGUUUCUCAACCACUUCCUCCUACAGAAUUUGAAUUAAAUCUAUAAUAGCUAUUUUCUGUGUAAUUUCCUCCACUUCAUAAAAGAAAAAAAGCAGUCUCUAGCACAUCUAAAGAAUUGAAAAGACAAUCUAUGUCCUGCCCUACUGCUUUUUCAAACAGAUCCUCAGAUAGUUGUAUUCCCAUCUAACCACUAGGUCCUGCCAUGUAGACCUUUUCCCUUGGAUACCUACAACAGUUGCUCUAUUGAAAAAGCGUCCUGAUCAGAAAAUCUUUGCUUUAAACCUUAUAGCAGCCUUAUAAUACUCAAAGAGGGCCUAUAGGAAAGAUGGGGAAAGGCUCUUUAUUAAGGACCGCAGGGAUAGGAUGAGGGGGAAUAGUUUUAGCCUUAAAGAAGACAUUUAGAUGAGAUAUUAGGAAGAAAUUUUUUACUGGGAGGCUGGUCACCCAGGUCUCCCAGGGAAAUCGCGGCUGCCCCAUCCCUGGAGGUGUCCAAGGCCAGGUUGGAUGGAGCUUGGAGCAAACUGAUCCAGUAGGAGGUGUCCCUGCCCAUGGCAGGGGUUGGAACUGGAUGGGCUUUGAGGUUCCUUCCAACCCAAACCAUUCUAUGAUUCUAUGAUAAACCUGUCACUGUGUGCACUUUCUUCUUUUUCUGUCCCAUAUUUCAACUAGUAUUUCACGUAUCUUCCUUUGACAUUUUCCUCGGGACAAGUAAAUAGGCCCUACACGAGGAACAACAUCUGACUCUUCCUACCCUUCCUACACCUAUUCUUCUAGAAUUUGCUCUUCCCUUCCAUAACUAUGUCCCAGCACGAUCCUGGUCUUUAUCCCUUGAUGAGGGCACAGAUCUCAGCAUCUCUCCUCGUAGCUUCUUCACUCACAUCAUACUGGCAGGAACUCCAGUGCAAGUCCACAAACAGGCCAGGCCAGAUGCAAAGACGUUUUGCUCUUUUGUGACAAUACCCAUAUGCCGAAGUAUAUGUAAAACUUGUUACCUCAGGAAAAUAAGGUGCUUCUCAACAAUGGUUAGUUCUAUCAUUAUUUCCAAAUGCAGAUAUGGAAGGUACUACUUUAUAUCCUCAUGAAAAUUAAUGUCUUCAGCUAAUUAAGUAAUUGCUUGUGUGCUUGUCAAAAUAUUAUAUUUAUACAUGAAAAUUACUUCUACAAGUUACUGAAAAUAAUUUCAAGGAAUUAAUACAAUAUGCCAGUUAUAUUCUUGGCAUGUAAUGGCUGUUUUGACAUUAAUACUGAUUCAAAACUUGAUUUACUCAAUUCUUUUUUGACACCUAUAUAGUAGACAAGACAGGGAUCAAUGUAUGUAUAGCCUCUCAUUUUUGCCAAUUUUAUGCAAAUCCAAGGGCAAAAGAGAGCAUAAUUUUAUUCUAUUAUUCCACUAUAGGUCAUACAAUUUUUGUUUCAUUAUCCUUCUACUUUUUGCAAGUAUCACUUCACAAACUUUAACAGUACAACUGCUCAAGUACUAACAGACUAAAUAAAGAAGUAUUUUGUUUUUUAAAUACAUAAAAGGGAAUGAACAGAAAAAUUCACUAGGGUCCAAGAGUCGUAACUGGAAAGGAAAAUGCAAUUUCAGGAAAAGCAAAUGAUUCCGUUACAGAGUUCAAACAAAAUAUUGAGAAAUUAAGAGUAAGAGAGGUUACAACAGUAGCCAUUAAUAACAGUUUUUAAGAAGAAGAGUAAGAAAUCAACAUAAGAUCAUACUUAAAAUAGAAUAACUAACAUUAGGCAGUACCAUUCCAAAGGAACUGAACUGUGAUUUAAAUAUAAAGAUGGAAAUUGUAUUAAUCAAAAUAGUGAAUGUACUGGUGAUUUAGCUUACCCCACAUUUUACUGUUUAGGGUUUUUUUUUUUCCCAAAGAGAUGAAAUUUGUGAGCCUGAAAAUAUGGACUGAGAAGUCACGCUUUAGCAGCCUUCGAAGGAAUUGUUGUAGGACUUACAAAGCUCUUGGGUGAAGUAUAAUGUGAUGAGGAAAAAACAGUAACCCACUAAUAAUAAAUGCAGUCUUCGUAAGUCUUGCAAGGAAAAAAUAGUGGAUAAGAGAGAAAUGGACCUAGUGGUUUAUUUUGAUUUUCAAAAUCUUUUAGCAAGGCUUUUUUGACAUCAUUCAGCGUUAUCCAGAAAAAUGUGGGAACCUCAGCAUUUUGCUGAAACUUAGGAAUAGAAUGACCAAAUACAGAAAUAAAAGCAGCAGUGGUAUGAAUCCCAAAGAUUAUUUCCUAAUUUAGAAAAGAACGAGAGAAAAUAACUCAAAGUAAAUGCUUUCUCAGCUAGAAAAAGUCUAACAGCCAUGCCCCUUUGGGAUCAUUAAGGGUACUGGAUAAAUUCAGUAUACCUACUAAUGAUGUGUAAGAAAGGUUGAAUUGAGAGAUGGAGCUUUGCUGACAAGGAAAAAAUGCCUGAGCUUAGUCAAGAUUAAGCAGGAUUGUGAAAAACUCCAGAAGGAAUAGCAGUGAAAAAGAAAUGCGGCAGAACGGAUGCCGAGAAAAAUAUUCAGCAGAAGGGACAUUUGCACUGGAAAAUGUCAGUGUUUUCCAGAUAAUUUGUAACAUAUUGUAGCAUGGAUCAAGGUUUCAGCACAGCACACAAUUACACAUCUAGUCAGUAGAAAGACAUCUGAAAACCUUUUAUUUUUUUAAAAAAAAAUCAAAGCAUCAUCCUGAGAGCAAAGCUCAAUGUCAGCAGACUCAUUCCGUCAUAGAUGGAAAGGCUAUCAGGAAUAACUUGGCUAUUUAAUUUUUUUGCAUCUCUACAGAAAGUACGCAUAAAAAAAAUCAUAAUUUGAUUUUAUUUUCUGGUUCAGUGGACUUUUAUUUGGAAGCAGACAGGUGUUUCAAAUAAUGACAAUGUCACUGUCAGUGGUGAUAGAACUUAGUUUUGUCUGGUACCUCCAUUUUCCUGAAGUUUCUUUUGGUUUCAAGUGGACCUGAAGCAAACCUGUAAUUUACCCCAUUAUUCUUGAUCUAAAGUCCUCCGUUUUCAAAUCUGUGUAAAAAUGCAAUCACUUUUUUUCCCUUGAUGAAAAAAAUUGGCAAAAGGAACAAACAUUUCAGUAAAAGUCUGACAUUUUCUUUGUAGAACAAAUUUUGCACUUUGGCGUAUGGAAAAAUAUAGAACCGACCCUAAUUUUUUUUGUCCUGAUAAUGGCUUUUGAUAAAAUAUCAUAAAUAUUGAUUUCUCAGUCCUCUGUUUAGCAGUUCUUUCUGAGUUUGGUAAGCUUCCUACAGUGUUUACAUUCUUUAUUGUAAGGUACUUUGCUCACCAAUACUUACAGGAGAUGACAAUAACAAAGUGACUUACUUCUGUAGCAAAAUACACACAUGGGUGUUAAUAAAAGGUAAGAGUUUCUGGCAAGGUUUCAUUUUAGAAGGGUGCCAGUGAAUUUUCUGUGAACUUCAGUUCUUUCUAAUUUCUUUUAAAACAGAUAAAAACUAGUCAAGGGAAGACUUAUAAAUUUAAUUGUAUAAAAUUGAUGCUUCUCUGGACGUGACUUACCGGAUAAGGCAAACAUGAACAGAAAAUUGUUAAUGUGUUAUUCUGUUAGCACUAGAAUCUGCUGAGUAGGGAUAAAUUUGUUUUACCUCUUUGGCACAGGCUGCCCAGGGAAGUGGUGGAGCCACCAUCCCUGGAGGCAUUUAAAAGAUGUGUAGCAGUGGCAUUUCGGGAUGCAGUUUAGUAAUCUUAGAGGUCUUUUCCAGCUUUAAUGUUUCUAUCAUUCUAUAAUGUCAAAAAGGGUUAUACGGAAUGGUUAGGGUGACUCAGUGUCACUCAGUGAAAAAUCAGCAGAGGAUUUAGGAAAAAAAGAACCCUUCUGUUGCCCUCCAUCCAAAGUGUUGUGUGUAUAUUUGGAAGGAAAAGGGAAAGCCUCGAGUCAAGUGACACUUGCAAGCUUCAGCAAGAAGCCUGUGCGGUGCAUACCAUAAGAUCUGUCGGCUGCUCUGAUGUGUUAAGCUAAAACAGCUCUUGAAACUGUAUCUGAUCACUCUGCAGCUAUUACCUCCGCUACAGUACUCUACAUGUUAGUUUUACCAAUAUGUCGUAAGGCCAACACAGAUCUAUAUAUCCCUGCCCAGAAGCAGGGCAGAGCUUGCCCCCUUUUACUUGGUGAGUCUGAUAAUAUCUGUCCCAAGGAGAAGGGAAAGGGCAUAGAAAACAUUUAUUUCUCUUAACGUGCUUGUAAAGAGGUCAACCACAAAGGUAAUCGUUUUUUUUCCCAUCUCCUGUUCAGCUGGUUAUACUGUUCUUCUCAAUAUCACUGCAAAAAUACAUCUGCAGUAGAUACUGUAAAUAGUAUUAAGCAUCCUUAAAGAAAGAUGUUGGCUGCAGCAAGGCUUGAUUGAUAUUAGCCUGGUGGAGAGGGCCAGCAGAGCAGGGAGGGGGUGGUGCGUGAAGGAGAGGAUGGAUUCUGCUAUAUCUUGUCCUCGAGGUUUUGCAGAAAUCCUGAGCAACUGAAGAAGUCUGUGCUCGAGGGCUGUUUCCCUUUACCCAUUCCAUCCUGCCUCACAACAGCAACCAUAUAGAUACGUAAACAUACUUUAGGCUGUUUUGCUGGAUGUACACAAACAUAUCCGUGUUUUACUCCUUGUAUACUAGAACUUAGGUUUUGAUAGUAAUAGCUGAGAAGCCUUUAUACUUGUUUGUUCUAUUUUGCUUUCCUAUUUUUUUUUUUUAAUUCACUAACUGAAAACUUUUGAUAAGUUAUUCAAAUUCAAAAGUUGUAAAUUCUACCCAAGAUGCUUUAGUACAUUAGUCCUUUAAAAGUGUAAAUGAUUUCUGUGCCAAGAACUGGAAAGAUGAAAGGUGUAAAAUGUCACAAUUCCAAGAAAAGUGGAACUUUGAGAUAUGCAUGUAACGAUCAAAGGAUUGACAGAUCUGACUUCUUUCAGCCAGAUCUGUUAACUCCAUCUGACACCAAAAAAAUCCCAUCAAAUCAGCAUAGAAGAGAACCAAUAUUGGCAUUUACACAUCAUUCAUUUCCUAGAAUUAUGAAAUAUCUACUGCGUUGAUGCUGAGAUAAAGCAGCCAAAAGCUUCCUUCUUUGUAGCCUGUUACAUUUAGCCAGGAGAUAGCUGCCCAAUGCUUCCCGCACACUGUUCCAAAUUUAGAAACCUUUACAGUUGUGUUUAGGUUUUUAGUUACGAUUGUUUAUGCAGUAACAUUGCUGUCAUACUAUUUUCUGCACCUCUUAUAACAAGCCAAGUCCUUUCCUGGUGGACUGUUUGUGUUUUUCUUCCAGCUUCACAGAAUCAUCUAAAAAAGCUGUUCUAAGUUUGCCCUAUGCAAA
Long non-coding RNA from Cuculus canorus (common cuckoo), 6793 nucleotides. RefSeq lists it as uncharacterized. The record is from RefSeq and is a predicted model, not a curated record. The transcript is spliced from 6 exons. Lineage: Eukaryota; Metazoa; Chordata; Aves; Cuculiformes; Cuculidae.